GCGGAAGGAUCAUUAGUGAAUAUAGGACGUCCAACUUAACUUGGAGUCCGAACUCUCACUUUCUAACCCUGUGCACUUGUUUGGGAUAGUAACUCUCGCAAGAGAGCGAACUCCUAUUCACUUAUAAACACAAAGUCUAUGAAUGUAUUAAAUUUUAUAACAAAAUAAAACUUUCAACAACGGAUCUCUUGGCUCUCGCAUCGAUGAAGAACGCAGCGAAAUGCGAUAAGUAAUGUGAAUUGCAGAAUUCAGUGAAUCAUCGAAUCUUUGAACGCACCUUGCGCUCCAUGGUAUUCCGUGGAGCAUGCCUGUUUGAGUGUCAUGAAUACUUCAACCCUCCUCUUUCUUAAUGAUUGAAGAGGUGUUUGGUUUCUGAGCGCUGCUGGCCUUUACGGUCUAGCUCGUUCGUAAUGCAUUAGCAUCCGCAAUCGAACUUCGGAUUGACUUGGCGUAAUAGACUAUUCGCUGAGGAAUUCUAGUCUUCGGACUAGAGCCGGGUUGGGUUAAAGGAAGCUUCUAAUCAGAAUGUCUACAUUUUAAGAUUAGAUCUCAAAUCAGGUAGGACUACCCGCUGAACUUAAGCAUAUCAAUAAGCGGGAGGAAAGGAACAUUAGUGAAUAUAGGACGUCAACUUAACUUGGAGUCCGAACUCUCACUUUCUAACCCUGUGCACUUGUUUGGGGAUAGUAACUCUCGCAAGAGAGCGAACUCCUAUUCACUUAU
RNAcentral lists this ribosomal RNA (723 nucleotides) under Rhodotorula sp. EY12114. Its description in RNAcentral is "eukaryotic LSU rRNA". The stretch from base 169 to 322 matches the Rfam family "5.8S ribosomal RNA". Lineage: Eukaryota; Fungi; Basidiomycota; Microbotryomycetes; Sporidiobolales; Sporidiobolaceae. The record is from RNAcentral.